Molecule: transfer RNA, 85 nt
Organism: Felis catus (domestic cat)
Lineage: Eukaryota; Metazoa; Chordata; Mammalia; Carnivora; Felidae
Rfam family: tRNA
About the family: Transfer RNA (tRNA) molecules are approximately 80 nucleotides in length. Their secondary structure includes four short double-helical elements and three loops (D, anti-codon, and T loops).
Source: Rfam
GCCUGGGUAGCUCAGUCGGUUGAGCAUCCGAUUUCAGCUCAGGUCAUGAUCUCGCGGUCUGUGGGUUCGAGCCCCAUGUCAGGCU